CUUGCUGCGACGGNGCGACGGGUGAGUAACACGUAUCCAACCUACCCUUUACUCGGGGAUAGCCUUUCGAAAGAAAGAUUAAUACCCGAUAGCAUAAUGAUUCCGCAUGGUUUCAUUAUUAAAGGAUUCCGGUAAAGGAUGGGGAUGCGUUCCAUUAGGUUGUUGGUGGGGUAACGGCCCACCAAGCCUUCGAUGGAUAGGGGUUCUGAGAGGAAGGUCCCCCACAUUGGAACUGAGACACGGUCCAAACUCCUACGGGAGGCAGCAUG
This 269-nucleotide ribosomal RNA is filed under the name uncultured bacterium. RNAcentral describes it as "partial 16S ribosomal RNA". It matches the Rfam family "Bacterial small subunit ribosomal RNA", at positions 85 to 353 of the family's 1533-position model. The record is from RNAcentral.